CCUACGGGUGGCAGCAGUAGGGAAUCUUCCACAAUGGGCGAAAGCCUGAUGGAGCAACGCCGCGUGUGUGAAGAAGGUCUUCGGAUCGUAAAACCCUGUUGUCAGAGAAGAAAGUGCGUGAGAGUAACUGUUCACGUUUCGACGGUACCUAACCAGAAAGCCACGGCUAACUACGUGCCAGCAGCCGCGGUAAUACGUAGGUGGCAAGCGUUAUCCGGAUUUACUGGGUGUAAAGGGGACGUAGACGGCUGGUCAAGUCUGAAGUGAAAUCCCGGGGCUUAACCCCGGAACUGCAUUGGAGACUGGGCGGCUGGAGUGUAGGAGGGGUAAGCGGAAUUCCUGGUGUAGCGGUGAAAUGCGUAGAUAUUAGGAGGAACACCGGUGGCGAAGGCGGCUUACUGGACUGAAACUGACGUUGAGGCGCGAAAGCGUGGGGAGCAAACAGGAUUAGAUACCCUGGUAGUC
RNAcentral lists this ribosomal RNA (465 nucleotides) under uncultured bacterium. RNAcentral describes it as "partial 16S ribosomal RNA". It matches the Rfam family "Bacterial small subunit ribosomal RNA", at positions 338 to 795 of the family's 1533-position model. The record is from RNAcentral.